RNAcentral lists this ribosomal RNA (1404 nucleotides) under Klebsiella pneumoniae subsp. rhinoscleromatis. RNAcentral's name for it is "bacterial SSU rRNA". It matches the Rfam family "Bacterial small subunit ribosomal RNA". Lineage: Bacteria; Pseudomonadati; Pseudomonadota; Gammaproteobacteria; Enterobacterales; Enterobacteriaceae. The record is from RNAcentral.
UGCAGUCGAGCGGUAGCACAGAGAGCUUGCUCUCGGGUGACGAGCGGCGGACGGGUGAGUAAUGUCUGGGAAACUGCCUGAUGGAGGGGGAUAACUACUGGAAACGGUAGCUAAUACCGCAUAAUGUCGCAAGACCAAAGUGGGGGACCUUCGGGCCUCAUGCCAUCAGAUGUGCCCAGAUGGGAUUAGCUAGUAGGUGGGGUAACGGCUCACCUAGGCGACGAUCCCUAGCUGGUCUGAGAGGAUGACCAGCCACACUGGAACUGAGACACGGUCCAGACUCCUACGGGAGGCAGCAGUGGGGAAUAUUGCACAAUGGGCGCAAGCCUGAUGCAGCCAUGCCGCGUGUGUGAAGAAGGCCUUCGGGUUGUAAAGCACUUUCAGCGGGGAGGAAGGCGUUAAGGUUAAUAACCUUGGCGAUUGACGUUACCCGCAGAAGAAGCACCGGCUAACUCCGUGCCAGCAGCCGCGGUAAUACGGAGGGUGCAAGCGUUAAUCGGAAUUACUGGGCGUAAAGCGCACGCAGGCGGUCUGUCAAGUCGGAUGUGAAAUCCCCGGGCUCAACCUGGGAACUGCAUUCCAAACUGGCAGGCUAGAGUCUUGUAGAGGGGGGUAGAAUUCCAGGUGUAGCGGUGAAAUGCGUAGAGAUCUGGAGGAAUACCGGUGGCGAAGGCGGCCCCCUGGACAAAGACUGACGCUCAGGUGCGAAAGCGUGGGGAGCAAACAGGAUUAGAUACCCUGGUAGUCCACGCCGUAAACGAUGUCGAUUUGGAGGUUGUGCCCUUGAGGCGUGGCUUCCGGAGCUAACGCGUUAAAUCGACCGCCUGGGGAGUACGGCCGCAAGGUUAAAACUCAAAUGAAUUGACGGGGGCCCGCACAAGCGGUGGAGCAUGUGGUUUAAUUCGAUGCAACGCGAAGAACCUUACCUGGUCUUGACAUCCACAGAACUUAGCAGAGAUGCUUUGGUGCCUUCGGGAACUGUGAGACAGGUGCUGCAUGGCUGUCGUCAGCUCGUGUUGUGAAAUGUUGGGUUAAGUCCCGCAACGAGCGCAACCCUUAUCCUUUGUUGCCAGCGGUUAGGCCGGGAACUCAAAGGAGACUGCCAGUGAUAAACUGGAGGAAGGUGGGGAUGACGUCAAGUCAUCAUGGCCCUUACGACCAGGGCUACACACGUGCUACAAUGGCAUAUACAAAGAGAAGCGACCUCGCGAGAGCAAGCGGACCUCAUAAAGUAUGUCGUAGUCCGGAUUGGAGUCUGCAACUCGACUCCAUGAAGUCGGAAUCGCUAGUAAUCGUAGAUCAGAAUGCUACGGUGAAUACGUUCCCGGGCCUUGUACACACCGCCCGUCACACCAUGGGAGUGGGUUGCAAAAGAAGUAGGUAGCUUAACCUUCGGGAGGGCGC